Molecule: long non-coding RNA, 743 nt
Organism: Oncorhynchus tshawytscha (Chinook salmon)
Lineage: Eukaryota; Metazoa; Chordata; Actinopteri; Salmoniformes; Salmonidae
Source: Ensembl
CUUUUCUUCACAAAAGGGCUUAAUGACAGACAGAAAUAGUCCUCAGCACCUCACCACCCCCUCCCCUCUGUUGAUACCGCAGGUGAAGAAGCCGGAUGUGGAGGUAAUGGGCUGGUGUGGUUACACGCGGGUUGGACAUACUGCCAAAUUCUCUAAAACAACGUUGGUAGAGAAAUGAACAACCAUUCUGGUGGACAUUCCUGAAGUCAUCAUGACAAUUGAACGCUCCCUCAACUUGAGACAUCUGUGGCAUUGGGUUAUGUGACAAAACUGCAACAAAAAAAUAGUCCCCAGUGUCAUGUAUUGGUGUGACGUACUGAUAUGACAUCACCACGUCUGUGCCUCGACACAAUCCUGUCUUGGAGCUCUAUGGACAAUUCCUUCGACCUCAUGGUUUGGUUUUUGCUCUGACAUGCACUGUCAACCGUGGGACCUUACAUAAACAGGAUGUCGGUGGGCGGAGCCGGGAGGGUUGUCAGCGAAAUGGGACACACCUGGGCUCGGGUGUGUCCCGGGAUAAAUACACCUCUUCCCCAUUCUUUGGGGGAGACUCCAUGCAGACACUGAUAGAUUUUGGUUGUUUACUGUGGUACUUUUCAACACCCCUCAUUAUCACAUUUAUGCACGCAAACACUCACUAACACUACUGAUUACCGACUACACACACACCAUUGUUAAUUGUACUUGGUUUACUUUAGUUAAUAAAUAUAUUUUGUUAUUCCUUAUCUCCACGUUGUCACCCU